UUAGAGAUAGUGACUGGCCAGAAUAUGC
This 28-nucleotide small RNA is filed under the name Bombyx mori (domestic silkworm). Its description in RNAcentral is "piRNA piR-bmo-1620022". The record is from RNAcentral. Lineage: Eukaryota; Metazoa; Arthropoda; Insecta; Lepidoptera; Bombycidae.